RNAcentral lists this unclassified non-coding RNA (332 nucleotides) under soil metagenome. RNAcentral's name for it is "partial contains 5.8S ribosomal RNA, internal transcribed spacer 2, and large subunit ribosomal RNA". The stretch from base 1 to 120 matches the Rfam family "5.8S ribosomal RNA", at positions 35 to 154 of the family's 154-position model. The record is from RNAcentral.
GAUGAAGAACGUAGCAAAAUGCGAUAAGUAAUGUGAAUUGCAGAAUUCAGUGAAUCAUCGAAUCUUUGAACGCACAUUGCGCCCGCCAGUAUUCUGGCGGGCAUGCCUGUUCGAGCGUCAUUUCAACCCUCAAGCACAGCUUGGUGUUGGGACUCGCGUUAAUUCGCGUUCCUCAAAUUGAUUGGCGGUCACGUCGAGCUUCCAUAGCGUAGUAGUAAAACCCUCGUUACUGGUAAUCGUCGCGGCCACGCCGUUAAACCCCAACUUCUGAAUGUUGACCUCGGAUCAGGUAGGAAUACCCGCUGAACUUAAUCAUAUCAAUAAGCGGAGGA